Molecule: ribosomal RNA, 254 nt
Filed under: uncultured bacterium
Lineage: Bacteria
Description: partial 16S ribosomal RNA
Rfam family: Bacterial small subunit ribosomal RNA
Source: RNAcentral
GACAGAGGGUGCGAACGUUGCUCGGAAUUACUGGGCGUAAAGCGCGUGUAGGCGGAUCUGCAAGUCGGGUGUGAAAUCCCUGGGCUCAACCCAGGAACUGCAUCCGAAACUGCGGAUCUAGAGUAGUGGAGAGGGAUGGCGGAAUUCCGGGUGUAGAGGUGAAAUUCGUAGAUAUCCGGAGGAACAUCAGUGGCGAAGGCGGCCUCCUGGACACUUACUGACGCUGAGACGCGAAAGCGUGGGGAGCAAACAGG